UUAAGUUCAGCGGGUAGUCCUACCUGAUUUGAGAUCAAACAUUCAUGAAGCUGUCUUCGCUGAGGGAGAGACAUUUAUGAGCCCCCAGCAAACCCCCAUCGCUGAAGGUUACCUGGCGAAAAAUCACAAGCGUAGAUAUUUAUCACACCCAUGAUGCCACCAAACACUGGAAAGCUGAUUCAUUUCAGGGGAGCCGACCA
Molecule: unclassified non-coding RNA, 200 nt
Filed under: Thelephoraceae sp.
Lineage: Eukaryota; Fungi; Basidiomycota; Agaricomycetes; Thelephorales; Thelephoraceae
Description: partial internal transcribed spacer 2
Source: RNAcentral